GAUGAACGCUGGCGGCGUGCCUAAUACAUGCAAGUCGAGCGAACAGACGAGGAGCUUGCUCCUCUGACGUUAGCGGCGGACGGGUGAGUAACACGUGGAUAACCUACCUAUAAGACUGGGAUAACUUCGGGAAACCGGAGCUAAUACCGGAUAAUAUAUUGAACCGCAUGGUUCAAUAGUGAAAGACGGUUUUGCUGUCACUUAUAGAUGGAUCCGCGCCGCAUUAGCUAGUUGGUAAGGUAACGGCUUACCAAGGCAACGAUGCGUAGCCGACCUGAGAGGGGGAUCGGCCACACUGGAACUGAGACACGGUCCAGACUCCUACGGGAGGCAGCAGUAGGGAAUCUUCCGCAAUGGGCGAAAGCUUGGCGGAGCAACGCCGCGUGAGUGAUAAAGGUCUUCGGAUCGUAAAAAUCUGUUAUUAGGGAAAAACAAAUGUGUAAGUAACUAUGCACGUCUUGACGGUACCUAAUCAGAAAGCCACGGCUAACUACGUG
RNAcentral lists this ribosomal RNA (497 nucleotides) under uncultured bacterium. RNAcentral's name for it is "partial 16S ribosomal RNA". It matches the Rfam family "Bacterial small subunit ribosomal RNA", at positions 28 to 507 of the family's 1533-position model. The record is from RNAcentral.